This is a non-coding RNA of Oryctolagus cuniculus (rabbit), 7308 nucleotides long. The record is from RefSeq and is a predicted model, not a curated record. Lineage: Eukaryota; Metazoa; Chordata; Mammalia; Lagomorpha; Leporidae.
UCCGGCAACGUCAGACUGGGGUGGGAGUGAACGGCUAGGGCCAGGACGUCAGAAUAGAUCCCUAUGACAGAGAUUCAGUCUGUGUGUACAGACAGACGUAUCCACGUCUUACGCAUAACCGCUGAGCUGCAUACAUUUCUCACGAUCCAACAUGCGAAAGAAAAACAGACCAGACUAAGAAUUUUCAGCUAUGCAAACACAAAUAUUAAAAAUGUCCAUAUAGACAUCUGCAAACCCUUUCAGGGUAGAGUCACAGCUGUCCAGACCCUCGCUCGGUCUGCAAACAUUAACAAGAAGAUGAAUUCAGAUAACGCAACUGUCAUUUAAAUCUCACUUUCCCCACCAAGGCUGAGGGGUUCAAGGCCAGCGCCACCGCCGCCGCCGCCGCUCUGGAGUAACGCGGACGCCCCGAAGGUGCCCAUCGUUUAUCCCUCCACGCAGGGCCGAGGGGAGUCUGCGACCCACGAAUCAGUGCAGCAGCCCCGCACCCUGCACACCGGCCCCCGCUGACCUCCGAAACCGCUCAAUUCCAAAGGCAGGCGGCAACGCGCAGGCCAAGCGCCCCGCGAGGGUCAGAGACGCACACGCCUCGCCCAGCAUCGCCGCCACUGACCGCCUGCCCCGGCCCGCGCGCCCCGGCUGCACAAUGGAGCCCGCCAGGCGGGCGGCUCCUUAAGAUGCGGGGCCGAGGUGGAGGUCUACACACGCACAGACCCGCAGUUCACGCCCAGCGAUAACCGAGCAGACCGUGCGCACGGAGGUUCGGUCGUCCCGCGCCGCCUCCCGGGGCCGCGGGGAACGCGCGCGCCGGCGGCGACGCCCGCAGCCACACGUGCCCCUUCCAACGCCAUCCGUCGACGGAUUCCUUCUCGCCCGCAAGGAAGCGAGUUAUUCCAACAUCCAGCAGCCUGAGCCGUGAGCGCGCACUGCCCAGCUUCUGAGACUCAGGAAUCCAGGAGGUGCCCGGCUCGGUUGAAUAAUCAGAAGAAUAAAGUCACAGAGACAAAAAUUCACUGGCUUAUUGCAGCUGCCUGAGCCACAGAGUCAAGCAGGUGAUACACCAAGGGCAAGGCCGGCCUGGAGCCAGUUCCAGGUAAUGCAGUCUCCUGGGGGGAGCCCUGCUGUGAGACCAACGUCGCCUCUGGAUUGUAGCGUUUAUUUGGGAAAUCCCGAUGCCAGCAAUGGCUGUCAGCCACAUCUGUCCCAUCUCCAGUGAGGCUCCCAGGGUCCCUGGGAGAACAGAAUCGGGAUUCCGGAAGCUCCUGAACAGCCCGUCUUCCUUCAAGAAGACGGUGCCAGGACCUGGGGAGCCUGGUCCUCUCAGGGGCCGUCCACGUUGAACCCCACGAAGACACGUGGCAGUGUGUGCAUCCGUGGCUGGCAGUGGGUGCAGGAGAAACCAACCCCAAACCCAGUGACAUUCAGAGCUUGCCAAACCUCUAAAUUUGGCAUCUGGUGUAAUCUGGAAUGGGCCAGACGGUCCCGGGUGUGCAUCUCGUGUAGCCUGGGCAGGGUUCCCGGCUGCCAGUUGUCAGAUGAGGGUCUCAUGUGUCGCUGGAACAAGGACGAGGCUCGAUAACCAGAUUCCCUCCCUGGUGAACAACCGCUGGCUUCUUGAUGUUAGUCCUCCCAGAUACAAAGUAUCAGACAUACUCUUUAUGAAACAAUGUAGAAGAUACAGAAAAAUGAAAAGUAUCACAUUGUUCCAACCCUUAGAGAGGCCCUUGUGGGCAUCCCAAAGCAUUUCCUUCCGAGCUCAAAUCUUAGCUCCUUUUUGAAAAAAGUCCUGUAGCUCCGUGAGUUGUUGUGGAUUACUCCCUGGGGAAAGGAGGGGCACGUUUGUCCUGGGAGUAACAAACAUUCUGUUGCAAGAAACUCUGUAAAAAGCAUUGCCGUAGCAGGCCUAUCAUUUGGUGACGUGGAUUUGCCAGGGUUUAUGUAACAAAUCUAGUAGAUGUCAGAUCUAAGAUGCUGGAUCCAAGCCCUCCUCUUGAUGGUAUCUAUGGAGGCGGGGUUUGGUUUGUUAAAAAUGUUCAUGUAUCUGAAAGUCAUGGGUUGAGAGAGAGAGAGAGAGAGAGAGAGAGAGAGAGGAAGAGAGAGAGAGAUGGAGUGAGGUCCCUGGAGCUCAGUCUGAACCUCCCGCGGGGGUGGCAGGGACCCAAGUACUUGAGUAUCACCUGCUCUCUCCAGGGUGUGCGUCAGCAGGAAGCUGGACUGGGAGCAGAGCUGGGACUCAAACCCCCACUCUCUGCUAUGGCACAGGGCAUCCCAAGCAGAGAUGUAACCUCUGUGCCGUGCGCCUGCCCCACUGGGAGCCUUGAUGCCCCUUGGUGAUGUGGUGACGAAACGGCAUUGUUUCUGGGAGCAGCGCUGGGUUUGGCCACAAGUAGGUUUUAGAACGAAUAUCUCCCCCGGCGUCACCCCACCCACCAGACAGCAGAUGCUUCCUCCUGAAGGGCAGGUGCUGGUAGCUGCUGUGUUUAUUUGGGGAAAUCUCAUUUUUAAUGCAGGAGAAUAAAUGGGUCCAUUUUCUUGACCCACUUCCUUCUCCAACUCUGCAGGGAAAAGGUGCCACGAAGCCUCAGGUACUGCGCAGCCCGUGGGGAGAUGCAGCCCCCGAAAACCCGCAGGCAGGGCACCGAACCUGCUCCGCCCCAGCUCGCUGCUGGACGGCACUUGGCCGAGCCUGAGAGAAUGGCCCCAGAGCCCCACAAAGGACAGGCCGGUUCCUCCAUCCAAGGACCGGUGUCCAAAGAUCCGAGACGCUUCCCUCGGCUGCUUGGAUACAACCAGGCCUUUGUAUGUCGGGGUUAAACGUGCCUUGUAAUUGGCACUGUGAACACUGGGGCUCUGUGUCUGUCCGCAGAAGACAACACAGCGCCAUGGCCACGACACGUGUUUUCAGGCACCAAAACAAGUGCCGGGGCCUGACACGUCGGUAGUAUUCUCUUCGGAGAGCCCUGUGCUGGUCACCCGAGACCCUGUAAUCUGUGGUCCCGAUCUCCCACCGCCCAGCAGACCAGGGUCCCCUCGCAGAGAUUCUGGGAGUGCCAGGGACCACCGGGUGUGGGGAGUCCAACAGGGCAGCAGUGAGCAGCCAGUAGGGCUUUAUCAGCUUGAGUUGAGGGCCUUGCCCGCCCCCCUGCCCCCAGCUGGGGCUCUGCUCGCUGCAGAUACAGGAGCAGUGAGAAGCAAUGAGGCCUCCCUCCCACACAAGUGUGCAGCAGCAGACUGUGGCGAGGUGCAGCGUGCAAGGCUGUGACACGGGGGACAGUGAGUCAGCAAGCAGGAAGGUGCCGGGCCAGACGCUGGGCGCAGGCAGGGGAGACUCCCGCAGCUGUGCGUGACGGGGGCUGCAUGGAGCAGGGGGUUCCCUGGGUGCAGAAGCCCCUCGCUUUCCAUCCUGACUUCCAGCCACUGAUCGAGAGCAGGGACGGGAGGAAGGCUGAGCCAGGGACUGUGCCUUGGGCAGUGCUGUGUUGGUUUUGGAGAGAGAGAGAGAGAGAGAGAGAGAGAGAGAGAGAGAGAGAUCUUCUAUAUGCUGGUUUACUCCCCCAAAAUGGCCACAGUGGCCAGGGCUGAGCCAAGCCAAAGCCAGGAGCCUGGAGCUCCAUCCGGGUCUCUCACGUGGGUGGUGGGGGCACAAGAACUUGGGCCAUCUUCCACUGCCUUCCCAGGCACAGCACUGGAGCUGGAUUGGAAGUGGAGCAGCCGGGACUCAGUCCAGUGCCUGUACAGGAUGCCAGCACUGACGGAGGCAGUUGAAUCUACUGCACCACGACGCAGGCCCCCAUGACCCAUUUUUUAAAGAAGUGCAUCUUAGGGGCGGGCAUUUUUGACACAGCAGUUGAAACGCUGGGGAGAUGUCCACCUCCCAUAUCAGAGCGCCUGGUUCAAGUCCUGGCUCUGCUCCUGAUUCCAGCUUCCUCUUAAGGCGCACCCUGGCAGGCAGCAGGUGAUGGUUCAAGUCCCUGUGUCACUGCCACCUGUGUGGGAGAGCUGUGCUCGCCCUUGGCCCAAUCCAGCUGUUGUAGGCAUUUGGGGAGUGAACCAGGGGAUGCACGACUUCUCUCUCUCUGUUGCCCCCCCCCUUUAAGAUUUAUUUAUUUGAAAGUCAGAGUUACACAGAGAGAGAAGAAGAAACAGAGAGAGAGGGAGGGAGAGAGAGAGAGAGGUCUUCCAUCUGCUGGUUCACUCCCCAGUUGGCUGUAAUGGCUGAAGCUGGGCCAAUCCGAAGCCAGGAGCCAGGAGCUUCUUCCGGGUCUCCCACGUGGGUGCAGGGGCCCAAGCACUUGGGCAUCUUCCACUGCCUUCCCAGGCCACAGCAGAGAGCUGGAUCAGAGGUGGAGCAGCCAGGACUCGAACUGACGCCCAUGUGGGAUACUGGCACUGCAGGUGGCGGCUUUACCCGCUAGGCCACAGCACCAGCCCCUGUUUUGCCUUUUCAAAAGAAAGAAAGAAAGAAAGAAAGAAAGAAAGAAAGAAAGAAAGAAAGAAAGAAAGAAAGAAAGAAAGGAAAACAGAAGAAAGGAAGAACUACAUCUUAACUCCAUUUGAACUUGUGUUUUGGUCACGGUCCACAUUCAAGGCGGCCCACUGUUAAAUGAGCACGGAGAUCAGUGCCUAUCACCGCAGUGUUUCACCAGGCAGCUGUCAGGUGUUUACAAGAGCAGAGGUGCAGAGAGGAAAGUGAGCGUUCACUGAAGAAGUGGAUGACGUCAGACAUUAGAGGACAUGACCACAGCAGCACACAAGGGUUUCCAUGUAGCAAAAGACGGGAGGGGAACACCCACAAUGCCACCAACUGCUGUCUUGGGGGUGUGUGUGUGUGAAAUUGUUGGCAACUAUUUUUUUUUUUUUUUUGACAGGCAGAGUGGACAGUGAGAGAGAGAGACAGAGAGAAAGGUCUUCCUUUGCCAUUGGUUCACUCUCCAAUGGCCGCUGUGGCCUGUGCACCGUGCUGAUCCGAUGGCAGGAGCCAGGUGCUUCUCCUGGUCUCCCAUGGGGUGCAGGGCCCAAGCACUUGGGCCAUCCUCCACUGUACUCCCGGGCCACAGCAGAGAGCUGGCCUGGAAGAAGGGCAACCGGGACAGAAUCCGGCGCCCCGACCGGGACUAGAACCCGGUGUGCCGGCGCCGCAAGGUGGAGGAUUAGCCUAGUGAGCCGCAGCACCGGCCUGCAGCUAUUUUCUUCUUGUAUAAUUUCUUUUGUGCCACAUGACCAAGCAUUGCUUUUGUAGCAUGUCUGAUAGGCCGCUUCUGGCUUUUGCUUGGUGAAGUGUCAACUUUGAAAGCAGAUGUUAAAUGUGCGGUCGGUGCAGUGCUGUCUCGGAGAUGGUAGCUGAAAUGGUAUUUGCGUAUAUUCUUCAUUCUGGCUUAAGACAGCACUAGCUGGGGAACCCAGGCCCUAGAAAGCCCUUCCAGCCAUGGGUGCAGGCGUGGGUCUAAGGGGCCCUGGUCUGCGGAGAGUGACCCCUUGGAAGCGCUGGGUUAACCGCAGGAGUGCAGAGAUCACUCGAGGACAGCCACUGGAGAACUGUGGCUGUGAAGAGGCUGGAGGAGUGGGGGGCGACCACGUGGGGAUGGAGGGGCCCAGAGCCAGGAGAGGCGCACAGGAACCUGUGCCCUGGAGGCAGAGCAGGGCUGAGUCCCAAGCAUGGGGCCAGGCACGCUUUAUGGUCAGGGAUGGGACGAGCUGGGCUGGCCAGGGGGUCGUGGGGCAGGGGCAUGGGCAGUUAGGAAGACCCCACAGGGCGGUGACCAUGCAGGGCGCUGGGGGUGUGUGAGAUGGCAGGGCCGAGCUGCGGGUGCCUGCUCUGGAGCCAGCUCUGGUCAAGGGCAGGGAUCCCCAGGACUCUGAGGUCCCGGGCUGAGGGAGAGGGGAGGGGGCCCUUCCAUCUGAUCUCUACCUCCUGAAACUGUGGGUUGGGGCCUCCAGGAACAGACACGUGGCCCUUCUGUGUCCUGCUCCGUAGGAUAAGAGACUGGGCAGACAGAGUUUCCAAACUAACUACCAAAGAGGCCUUUUCCUGUCUUUUACUCCACGGGCUCUGCACUGUGAGGUCAGUUUUUUUUUUUUUUCUUAUUGGACAACAUUUAUUAAGAAGGAAUUCAAUCUUAUUAAUAAAAACACAUUGACUAAGAGCAGGCUGGUAAGUGUGAGACAAACUCCCCCCAGACCGGUUCUCUGUCUCGCCCAAAGCUCAGGAGGGGACAUUUUGGCUACUUUGGGAUGCCUGUGGGUUCUCUUCCUGCCUCAGUGAGGUUACUUGUGAAGGCAGGCAAAGCGGGUAGGUGUAGGGCAUAGCCGUGAGGAUGCCCGCGUCCCAUAUCUGGGUGUCUGGGUUUGAGGAGGGGAGAGAAGGGAGAGGGCAUGUUCCUCUUCACGCAGGACUCCAGCUGCCGGCUCGUCUGGGCGCUGUCCUGUCCCGGGCCGCGUCUGUCUGAGCACCCGCACCUGGGCUCAACACCCAGACUCUGCGGCGGUGAGCGCUGCAGGCUGAACGGAGGCUUUCUGGGCCGGGCGGCGAGAUGUCCUGGUCUACGGCAGGCAAACUCAGCCUGGGGGGAUCAGACACCGGUUGGGGGGGCAUCUGGGAAGGAAAACCAAACCCAGAACCUUCUCUGCUAGGGAGGGAAGACGUGGGCUGCUUGGGAUCCGCCAGCAGGUGCGGCGGAGCUGGGCAGGGGAGGAGGGCUGGCGGGUGAGGAGCCGGCAUCUGUCUCUGCCUCUGUAGUAGAAGCGCCGUGCACGCAAUAAAUAAGUCAAUAAUGAAUAAACCAUCAAAUGCUGCUUUGGAAAGCCACUGACAGUCGGGAGGGGCAGGGAGUUCAAGCGCAUCAUCAAACAUGAUGAUGGGGCGCUGCCAGCGGAGGAGGAAUAAAGGCUGCCUUGGUAUUGCCACAGGGGACGGAGGCCCGGCCGGGGAGUCCCUGGGUAAGCACGGCGGGGCCGGCGGUUUGAUGCAGGCACAUCAGAGCGGACGCCUCCAGACGGAGCGAGCCUGGAAAAGUCUCAGGAUUACGGACUCGGAGGCCAUUUCCUGAGGGACAGAGCUGAAGGGGCUCAUCUGAUUGAAAACUGGGCUGUGUGAAACGGGGUCAAAUUAAGGGACCUUUCUCAGCAGGUACCUGCGGGCAUCUUCUCUCUAAUUACCGGAUCGCGGGUCCAGACAACCCCGUUGUUCCCCGCUGCCUUCCCUCAGAGGCUCAGAACUGCCAAGCCCCUGUUUAUCCGGCGCUCUCUGAACUGGUUCCCCCACGUGCAGAGCAGGGGAAGGUGGCUUCUUAGGUUAAUUGCGGCUGCAAA